UCCUCCGUUACCUUUGCUAAGCCAUGACUUGUACAAUUCUCUUAUUGCACUCUUUACCUCUGAAACUCGUAUAUGUUUGAGCAUAUCAAUCCGGUGGUUAGAUAGAAGCUCAAUCGUAGUUAUCUUGCGAAUCUCACGCCAAUAAGGUCCAUAAGGAGCAAACCCGAACAUAGCAAAAUCAUAGCCUAGAAUCUUUGAAGCAGUAAUGCUUGGUCUAGUGGAGAAAACUUUAUCAUGGACAGUGAAACAUUCUUUGGCCAUUUCCCAACUAUUUAAAACCAACACUUCGUGUGAUCCUAGCCUUAAGGAGAAGACAGGUCCGUAUUUGUCAGCCAUGCCACCUAAGGUUUUGUGUGUGAGCUGCUGACCACCAAAGAGGUGCAUGUGACCAAUGAUAGGUAAAGCACCACCGGCUUGUGGAGCACUACAGCUUCUGCUUGGUUUCUUUGAAGACUGAUAAAAGUAUAUGCAACUGAAAAGGGCAAAAAGGGUGCAACAUAUGCUAAAGAGGUACUGCAGGAGAGGAUCCAUUAGAAGAUUCAGAUGAGCUUUGGCAGAGGUGGGUGUUGCAGAACAGACUUUGUAAUUACAAAUCUAAAGCUUCUUUCUGAGAAGCUGUGUUUCCUGAGUCUUCCCAGGGCUGUCGUUCUCCUUAGAAGGAUAAGAGGAAAUGACUUUUAGUAAUAGGAUAUGUUAAACAAUGAAGAAAAUACUUAUGUGUCGCCAAGUCCGUAAUAGUGGCGAUUUUCUUUCUGUGAAUUUGUCAUUUUAAACUAGUGAUGGAAGUGAAGAUCAUAUUUUAGUAAUUUUCUUGUCUUCAAAUAUGACUUCGAAUAUCUUUGCUAUUAAAUAACAUGCCACUUGCUCAUAAAUCACAACGAAGAACGCUAUAAAUAAUUUCUUCAAUUAUCCUUGUACUUUCAUAUCCAUUUAAAGGCAAACAAAAGAAAAAAAAAAGUGGAGAGGAGAAAUAGAAGGAACAAAAAAAUGUUAAAGAAAAAGCUCGCUUGGAUUUCGUACAACUAAAAAGGUUUCUCAUGCAUAUUAGUAGGUCUGUUACUAUUUCACUACAUUAAUUGUUUUUCAAAUUUCUAAUCCAAUAAACUUUACUACUGAUUUCAACAGAAGUUUGCGUUCAAUUAACAAAUUUUUAAAAUUUAAAAUUAGUCUUUAUAUUUUAAUGUUGAGAGGAUGAGUCACUCUACUUCUUUUAAUUUAAAAAUCUUAGUCCAUCUAAUUUUGCUGCUAAAGUAAACAAUAUCAAAAGUAAAAUAAUUUUUUUAGUCCUUAACAUUCACAAUUUUUUAUCAAUUUGAUCCUUACCCUUUAAAUGUACAUAAAAUUUUUUUCCUCAUAUUUUAAAUAAAAACAUAAAAAUUUAAAGAUUGUAAUUCUUUUAAAACUAAAAUAAUUAUGAAAUAUAAAAACCCUUUAAAAUUCAAAAAAAUAAAAAUAAAAAGUAAUUUUAAAAAUAUAAAAAAAUCAAAAUUCAAUGUUAUCUAAACUAGUCUACUGAGAGGUAAAAAAAUCAAUUGGCCCACAAACCUGUACAGACUACUUGAACUAAUCUAAAAACUCGGUUGAACCGAUUUUUAACUUGUUUGACCAAUUGGUUCCCAUAAUGAUUGGCCCAACUGGUCCAAAUUAAAAAAAUAAAAAAAUACUAAAAAAGGUACAAUUGUUAGUUCAAUUGAUUUUUUAGCCCAAUUCAACUAGUCCAUAUUGGUUUGUGGGUUAAUCGGAUUUUCUAAAAUUUGUAAGCUUUUUUAACCCUUAAAAGUUAUAGUUUUUUGUCAAUUUGGUCCAUACCCUUUAAAAGUACAUAAUUUUUUUUCUUAUUUUAAACAAAAAACAUAAAAAUAUGAAAAAUAAAAACUUUUUAAAAAUACAAAAUAAAAAGAUUAAAAAAAUAUUGUAAAUAUAUAAAAUUUUUCCAAAAUUCAAUUUUAUCUGAAUUAGACCAAACUGAUUGGCUCAAGAACCAACUGAGGUAUCAAUUCGAUGAGAGGUAAAAAUUUGGUCAACCCACGAAUCAAUACAGAUUAGUUGAACUGGGCUAAAAAACCAAUUGAACUAGUAGUUGAACUGAUUUUAUAAUUUUUAAUUUAUUUUUAAUAAUUUAUUUGCUUUAAACCAGUUUGACCAAUCGUUUUGGGAACCAAUUGGUUAGAGUAGUUCAAAAUCAGUUCAAUUGCUAGUUCAAUUGAUUUUUUAGUUUAAUUUUGUAACCUCUCAAACUUGGCCUAACUGUUAAACCCAAAUUCGAAAGAUUAUAUUAGCUACCGAAAUGGCCUAGUAAGCUAUCAAAGUUUUAUAAAACGGUCAUUUUAAAAAUGUUUGUUUAUCUUUAGACAAAAAUUUAGUUUAUUUUCAGAAGAAAAUAAAAACCAAUUAAUUUAACAUUAUUCUCGUAACGGUGUAACACCCCUAACCUGUAUCCAACGCCAGAACAGGGUUGCGGAGCAUUACAGAACUUAUACCUCAAUCAUUCAAACAUUUCAUGUACAAUUCUCAUUCAAAUCAAAAACCAUUCAUAAGGUCCCUAAUACGAGCCCUCGAGGCCCAAAAUAAACAUUAAAAACAGUUCGGGACUAAACCGGGUACUCAAGAAAUUUUUAGGAAAACACUAAAAUUUUUCAAAGUACAAGGGACACAUGCCCGUGUGACCAGGUCGUGUGUUUCACACGGCCAAGAGACACGCCCAUGUCUCAGGCCGUGUGGGCAUUCGAAAUGGGGAUACACAGUUGUGUCCCAGCUCGUGUCCGACCCCGUGUAACUCACUAACUUUGGUCGCAAGGCCAAUCUACACGCUUGUGUGCACGGCCGCGUACCCUUCGAAAUGACCUCACAUGCCCGUGUGCCAGGCCGUGUUCUAAGCAGUGUGAAAACUGGUGGGUAUACUAACUUGCGCCACAUGGCCAAGCCACACGCCCGUGUGCUAGGCUGUGUUAAGCUAUUGACUUGGUUUCUAAAGAAGUAUCAAGGGGCACACGGUUGUGUCACCUGGCCGUGUCUCACACACGGCUGAGACACACGCCCGUGUGGAUAAAAAUAGGCCAUUUUCCAAGCCACAUUUCUCACCCAAAUUGGUACCAAACUAACCACAACCAUAUGCAUACAACCAUGGCAUAAUUAGGCAUUCAAACCAACCAAUAUCAAGCUUGAAUCAUGUAAUAUCCACACACACAACACAAUGACCAUAAGUACUUCGAUUGACCACUUGUUAUCAUGCAAACUAUAUAUAUCUCAAACAUGCCUAUAUGAUCAAACACAUACAUGCAUCAUUGUGCCUAUAACUUAACAUGUAUGCCAUUUAUCAAAACCAACCAUUUGGUAUUCAAAACACCAUUUUACAACCAAGUCAUUCACAUGACAACCAUAUAUCAAAUACCAUAAUGCUAAUUACAUAUUUACACUACAAAAUAAACCAAAUUCAAGCCAAUCAAAUGGCUAAAACACAACAAAACAUGUAGCCUAUCAUUAGCUAAAAUAACUUAUACAUGCCAUAAUAACAAAAAUUAUAAAACCAUAAGCACCAAAAUAACCGAUAGAUAAUGUGAUGAAAUCUCCGACAAUUUCCAACCCGAAUGAGCUUCCGAUAUCUAGGUACACAAAGAAAUUAACACAAAGUAAGCAUCUAAUGCUUAGUAAGUUCGUAACUCAAAAAGAAAGUUUACCACUUCAAUUUAUAAUCAUAAUCCAUUAAGUCAAUCUAACAUGUCUUGGCUUUAGCCUAAACAACAAUAACCUCUCAAUGUUAAAUAUCACAAUAACUAGCCAAUUUAUUUCAAAAUAUCAUGACAUAAGUACACACUACUUAUGUGCAUUUAUAAUUUAAACAUAUGGCUAAACAUAUAUCAAUCAUCCAAAUUAACCAUGUAUUCAUAUAAAAACCAUGAAUCAUGUAUGAAAUCAACAAUUAUCAAAUUUCAUGUACAUGUAGCAUCUAUACCGUAUAUCCGUAUAUCGUGUACGAACCAUUUCCAUGUAAAUACCUGUACUAGUUCGUAUUGAAAUUGUAUAACCUCGUAUCAUCACUGUACCAGUUGAACCACUUGGAAUACUAUAGGAUACUCGGGUAUCUCGCACACUAAGUGCCAAUACGUGGUCAAAACCACCUCUAUCACACAUCUCAUAUCGAUGCUCACUCUCGAGCCAUAACUGGGUCUGCUCACACAAGCUGUUAGUCAAGACGUAGCUACACGGUGCUGCUCACACCAGCUGUAAAGUAACCGCAACACAUGCCAAAAACUCAACCACUGGUAGGAUGUACGAAACUAGCACCCAAAACACGGUAACCCCUAAUGACAUGUCAUUUGUAUCUUAUCGAUUCCUAAGGUUCAACCGGGAUAUCUACGUCGUCGAUACUUCGUCGAACAUUUCCCUGGAGUUGUAUCUUCACAAUUAUAAUAAUAGAGCAUUUAAAACACAUAUAAUUUAGUGCUUAUUAGCAUAUGAACUUACCUCAAACUCGUACGAUAGAAAACGAUCGUUUAAUCGAUAACUUUGUCUUUCCCUCGAUCUAAUUUCGUACGUCAUUUUUCUUGAUCUAUAUAAUAAAAUUUAACUCAUUUAAUCAUUAUUCAAUUCAAUUCAAUUCAAUCUAAUUUCAUGUUAUGGAAAAAUUAUCAUUUUUCCCCUAAACAUUUGACUUCUUUAUAAUUUAGUCCCUAGGCUCGUAAAAUGAAAUUCAUGUAAUUUCACUACACCCAAGCCUAGCCAAAUUUUAUAUGUGCUUAUAGUAGCCCAUAUAUUCCACAAAUUCACACAUUUAACACAUCAUUCUCAUGUUUCUCAAUUAAACCCCUAAUUAACAAUUUCAUCAAAAUUCACUCAGCAAAAGUUGUUUAUUUAACAACAAGGAUUCAUUUUCUUCCAUUAAACUUCAAGAACAAUUAAAAUUCUCUCAUGGAAAAACCCUAGACUUUCAAUCAUAUCGCAAAGUAGUCCCCUAUUUAGCUAGAUUAUGCUACAACGAUUAUGAAAACAUAAAAAUCAUCAAAAACGGGCUUAAAAUUCACUUACAUGCAAGAGAUUUAUUAACCAAAAGUUUCAAGCUCCCAAAGCCUUCCUUUUUGCUGGAAAUUUUGGUUGGGGAAGAUGAAUAAAGUUGGUAUCUUUAAUUUUUUUUGUUUAUUUUUUCUUUAUUUGCCUUUUUCCCAAAUUACCCAUACCUAACGUUAAUAAUUUCAUAUUUACCAAGCCAUGCACAUCCACUGACUCAUUUAAUGGUCUAAUUACCAUAUAAGGACCUCCACUUUAAAGUUCUAUAGCUGUUUAAUUCCUUUAGCUAAUAGAACACAACUUUCGCACUUUACGCGAUUUAGUUAUUUUUCACAAAUUGAGCAUGUAAACAUUAAAAUUUUUUAACUAAAAUUUUAUUCUAUCAUAUUAUCAUGCUGUAGAAAUUGAAAUAAUAUUAAAAUAAAUUUUUUACUUUAGAUUUGUGAUCUCGAAACCACUGUUCUAAUUUCACUGAAAACAGGUUGUUACAACUCUUCCCCCUUAGGAAUUUUCGUCUCCGAAAAUAUUACUAGAAAAUAGGUUAGGGUAUUGUUUUCUCAUGGUUUCAUUGGGUUCCCAAGUAACCUCCUCAAUCCCAUGACGUUGCCAAAGAACCUUCAUUAAUGCUAUACUUUUGUUGCAUAACUCUUUAAAUCUCUCGUGUCAAAAUUUUGAUCGGUUCUUCGUUAUACGACAUGUCGACUAAAUCUCAACAUCUGUUGGAGAAAUUAUAUAUGAAGGGUCUGAUCAAUAUGCUACUGGCCCUAUUCUCUCAUUAAUCUCAUACAACCUGAUAAAUCUCGGACUCAACUUCCAUUUACGACCAAAUUGAAAAAAAUCCUCUUCCAAGGCAAUACUUUCAAAAACACUCUGUCGUCGAUCUGAAAUUAAAUAUCUUUACCUUUCAAAUCUGCAUAUGAUUUCUGUCGAUCUGAAGCUGCUUUCAAACUUUCACGAAUCACUUUCACUUUCUCGAUAGUCUCUCUAAUCAAAUGAACCCCGUGUAUCUUUUUCUCACUGAGCUCGGUCCAGUAUGACAGAGUUUGACAUUUAUGAACAUAUAAAGCUUCAUACGAUGCCAUCUUUAUACUCAACUAAAAACUAUUAUUAUACGCGAAUUCGAUCAAUGGUAAAUAUUUUUCCCAAUUAACGAAGCAUAUUGUCAAGAAUCUAAAUCACUCUCUCGGGUUGACCAUCAGUUUGAGGGUGAAAUGCAGUGCUAAAUGCAGCCGCAUACCCAAAGCUUCUUGUAACUUCUUCUAGAAUCACGAUGUGAACCUCGGAUCUCUAUCCAAAAUAAUGGAGACUGGUACUCCGUAUAAUUUGACAAUCUCGGAAAUAUAUAACUCAGUUAAUCUGUCAAGUGAGAAAUCUAUACUUACCGAAAUAAAAUGUGCAGAUUUCAUCAAACAGUCAACAACAACCCAUACAUCAUAUUUCUUUUUCGGUGAUAAGGAUAACCCCGAUACAAUAUCCAUCGUAACUUUAUCCCAUUGCUACUCCGGAAUCAUCACUAGUUGUAACAGUUCUGAAGGCACUUGAUGUUCGACUUUGACCUGUUGGCAAAUGCAUCUGGACACAAAGUCAGAUAUCUUACGUUUCAUACCUGACCACUAGUACAUCUGUCUCAAGUCACUGUACAUUUUAUUACUCUCCGGAUAAACUAACAAGUUACCACUAUGAGUUUCAUGCAAAAUUUUCAGUACAAGCUUUAGAUUCUUUGGUACACAAAUUCUACCUCGGAACAAUAGCAACCAUCGGGUCUGACCUGAAAUUCAGAAUCAGAAGUCGAGUCACACUGUACUAGUUUAACUUGCAAUUCAUUAUCACUUUUCUGAGCUUUGCAGACCUGUUGUAGAAACAUCGAUUUAGCUUUUAACUCAGCUAAGAUCGAGCCAUCAUCAUACAAUGUCAAUUGUGCAUUCAUCACUCGCAAACAAACAAAGAUUUUUCUACUUAUAGCAUCCAUAACUACAUUUGCUUUUCCCGGAUGAUAAUCAAUAACUAACUCAUAAUCUUUCAAUAGUUUGAGCCAUCUAUGCUAUCUCAGAUUCAGAUCUUUCUGUGACAUCAGAUACCUUAAACUCUUGUGAUUGAUAAAUAUGUGACACUUUUCAUCGACAAAUGGUGUCACCAAAUUUUCAAUGCAAACACAAUAGCGACCAACUUUAAGUCGCGUGUCGGAUAAUUCUUUUCAUGUGGCUGUAACUGUCUGGAAGCAUAAUCUAUCACUUUUCCUUCUUGUAUUAAAACACAUUCCAAUCUGUUCAAUGACGCAUUACUGAAAAUCACGAAUUCUUUACCCAAUUCAGGUUGAACCAGAACUAGUACUUCGGUUAACAAUGCUUUCAACUGUUUAAAACUUUGCUAACAUGUAUCAGACCAUUCAAACUUCACAAGUGCGAUAACUUUAUCAAUCAGAACAAUUUUAACUCAUAAUAACAUCUUUCGAUUAGAACUAAUCUAAUAGAUAUGUUUUUUUAUCAUGUUUUCUAGAACAUGAAUUCUUUAUUCAAACUGUCUUUUUAUUUACCCGUGAAUGCACAAAAUUUAUUUCCAUACCUGAGGAUAAACUUAAAUGCAUAUAACUCAAAGUACUUUUCAACUGAAUAACCCGCUCUGGUUAAAACAACUGAGUCGAUCUUAACUAUCAAAUAAUAACAUUUCAAAGUAAUCCCUUCUUCAUGUUGUACAAACAACUCAAACUUACUAUAUUUCAUAAUUCCCUCAAAAUGCUAGUCAAAGAUCUUUACCUACUGCAUUAGCUCAAACGAAACAUAACAUCUCUAUUUAACUCAUUGACCUUAAUUAAGGUUACCUAAGGAAUGAAAACCAAUAUACAAAUUUGAGCUUGAUCUUCCACCGUCUACACUUUUGCCGAUGUCAACCCUUUCACGAAAACUCGAAAAACCUAAGAUCAGUAUCACCAUUCUCUCAUGAUCAAACUAGAAAUUAUAUCCAUAAUAGAUAUACUUAUCUUCGGCUAAUGAAUAUCCUUUACAAAUGAGUCAUGUUUGAUAACUUAACCAAUAAGAAUGAUGGGAGAACCGAGAUAAUGAAAUCCAAGAUGUGAAGCUAUACUGGAUUUUCGAGAACACAUCCCAUAUUGAAUGAUAAAGAUCUUGUUGAUUCCUCAGAGAAAAAUCCAGAAGAAAAACACCGCUCAUACUCAUUGGAAUUCAAUUGUGAUAAAGACUAUAAUUUCCAUAUAUAUAAAGCAGAGUAACAACCAGUAGAAACAGAAUAAUAGCAUCAUAUGAAUUUUACCGUCGAAUUUUCUACUGAACAUAAUGGAAUAGAAUGCCAAAGAAAAAUAGAGCAAUGCCGAUCAUAAACCAACCAGACUAUCAAUGCUUCCGACUAACAUUAUGGUCAGCUAGCAUUCUGAAAUGAUAAGAAUUACAUCUAAAAAUGAACAACUAUAUAUACCUCUGAGAAUAAUUGAACACUUAGAAUACCUAGAAGAGAUCGUCAUAUUCUACUCAACUAUAAUUGUUGCUCUCAGAUAUCUUUACAAUUAAAGCAUUAUUCCACUGACUAUUAUAGUCAUCAAUAAUCCCACAUUAUUCCAUUCAUUAACGAAAUCAAAUUAGAAGAAAUUCUGAUUAAUACCUUCUUUAGAUAUCAUAUCUGGAUAAGUCGAUUAGUCAAGAUUAAUUUCUUAUUUAAUAGCGACAUUGCGUAAUCCGAAUGAUCUUCAGAAAAAUCUGAUAUCUCUUCUAAAACUGUCUUUACUUGCUAACCCAUUCUCAGCCCUAACCGCAUUAUUAAUCCUUUAGCUACUGAACUGUUUAGUUUCACACUUGUGAGCUUAUUCAAUCUAAAUCUUAUGAAUUUCGUUCUAUAACACUAUACUGGUGAGGGGGUGAAGAUUGUAAAGCCUCAAAAUUUGAAUCUCAUAUAUACACACAUAUAACAUAACAUUUAUCAACAACAUAAUGUUAUGAACUUCCAUUCAUACCUUUAUGAGUCUCGACUCAUCAUAACCAACAUUUUUACUCAGAUGCUUGAGUAUCGUUUUCAGCAUUAUCAGAAAUAGCUCAGUUGGAAAACAUCUCUAUCUAAGUAAAAAAAAUCUCAUCAGAGUUGGGAGAUAUCAUACUAUCACAGGUUAUAUAAUAGUAUGUAUUUCUAGACUUCACACAUGCUACGUUCGGUCUGAGAAUCGACUAAAUCGUAGCUCUGAUACUAAUAAAUGUAACACCACUAACCUGUAUCGAAGCCAGAAUAGGGUUGCGGAGCAUUACAUGACUUAUACCUCAAUCAUUCAAACAUUUCAUAUACAAUUCUCAUUCAAAUAAAAAAAAAUUCAUAAGGUCCUCAAUACAAGCUCUCGAGGCCCAAAAUAAAGAUUAAAACUGGUUUGGGACUAAACCAGGUAAUUAAGAAAGUUUUAGAAAAAUAUUGAAGAUUUUCAAAGUACAAGAGACACACCUCCGUGUGGCCAGGCCGUGUGUUUAAUACAUCCAAGAGACACACCCAUGUCUCAGGCAGUGUGGGCAUUCGAAAUGGGAACAUAGGUCAUGUCCCUGCCCGUGUCUCACCCUGUGUAACUCACUAACUUGGGUCACCUGGUCAACCCCCAUGCCCGUGUGCCAGGCCAUGUGCUAGACCGUGUGAAAACUGAUGGGUAUACUAACUUGCGCCACACGGCCAAGCCACACGCCCGUGUGCAAGGCCGUGUUAAGCUAUUGACUUGGUUUCUAAAGAAGUAUCAAGGGGCACACGGUUGUGUCACCUGGCCGUGUGUCACACACGGUUGAGACACACGCCCGUGUGGAUAAAAAUAGGCCAUUUUCCAAGCCACAUUUCUCACCCAAAUUGGUACCAAACUAACCACAACCAUAUGCAUACAACCAUGGCAUAAUUAGGCAUUCACACCAACCAAUAUCAAGCUUGAAUCAUUUAAUAUCCACACAGACAACACAAUGACCAUAAGUACUUCAAUUGACCACUUGUUAUCAUGCAAACUAUAUAUAUCUCAAACAUGCCUAUAUGAUCAAACACAUACAUGCAUCAUUGUGCUUAUAACUUAACAUGUAUGCCAUUUAUCAAAAUCAACCAUUUGGUAUUCAAAACACCAUUUUACAACCAAGUCAUUCACAUGAAAACCAUAUAUCAAAUACCAUAAUGCUAAUUACAUAUUUACACUACAAAAUAUACCAAAUUCAAGCCAAUCAAAUGGCUAAAACACAACAAAACAUAUAGCCUAUCAUUAGCUAAAAUAACUUAUACAUGCCAUAAUAACCAAAAUUAUAAAACCAUAAGCACCAAAAUAGCCGAUAGAUAAUGUGAUGAAAUCUCCGACAAUUUCCAACCCGAAUGAGCUUCCGAUAUCUAGGUACACAAAGAAAUUAACACAAAGUAAGCAUCUAAUGCUUAGUAAGUUCGUAACUCAAAAAGAAAGUUUACAACUUCAAUUUAUAAGCAUAAUCCAUUAAGUCAAUCCAACAUGUCUUGGCUUUAGCCUAAACAACAAUAACCUCUCAAUGUUAAAUAUCACAAUAAUUAGCCAAUUUAUUUCAAAAUAUCAUGACAUAAGUACACACUACUUAUGUGCAUUUAUAAUUUAAACAUAUGGCUAAACAUAUAUCAAUCAUCCAAAUUCACCAUGUAUUCAUAUAAAAACCAUGAAUCAUGUAUGAAAUCAACAAUUAUCAAAUUUCAUGUACAUGUAGCAUCUAUACCGUAUAUCCGUAUAUCGUGUACGAACCAUUUCUAUGUAAAUACCUGUACUAGUUCGUAUUGAAAUUGUAUAACCUCGUAUCAUCACUGUACUAGUUGAACCACUUGGAAUACUAUCGGAUACUCGGGUAUCUCGCACACUAAGUGCCAAUACAUGGUUAAAACCACCUCUAUCACACAUCUCAUAUCGAUGCUCACUCUCGAGCCAUAACUGGGUCUGCUCACACAAGCUGUUAGUCAAGACGUACCUUCACGGUGUUGCUCACACCAGCUGUAAAGUAACUGCAACACAUGCCAAAAACUCAGCCACUGGUAGGAUGUACGAAACUAGCACCCAAAACACGGUAACCCCUAAUGACAUGUCAUUUGUAUCCUAUCGAUUCCUAAGGUUCAACAGGGAUAUCUACGUUGUCGAUACUUCGUCGAACAUUUCCCUGGAGUUGUAUCUUCACAAUUAUAAUAAUAAAGCAUUUAAAACACAUAUAAUUUAGUGCUUAUUCGCAUAUGAACUUACCUCAAACUCGUACGAUAGAAAACGAUUGUUUAAUCGAUUACUUUGUCUUUCCCUCGAUCUAAUUCCGUAUGUCGUUUUUCUUGAUCUAUAUAAUAAAAUUUAACUCAUUUAAUCAUUAUUCAAUUCAAUUCAAUCUAAUUUCAUGUGAUGGAAAAAUUACCAUUUUACCCCUAUAUAUUUAACUUAUUUAUAAUUUAGUCCCUAGGUUCGUAAAAUAAAAGUCAUGCAAUUUCAUUAUACCCAAGCCUAGCCGAAUUUUAUAUGUGCUUAUAAUAGCCCAUAUAUUCCACAAAUUCACACAUUUAACACAUAAUUCUCAUGUUUCUCAUUUAAAACCCUAAUUAACAAUUUCAUCAAAAUUCACUUAACAAAAGUUGUUUAUUUAACAACAAGUGUAACAACCUAGUUUUAGUUAAACCGGAACAGUGGUUUUGGAACCAUAAAUCUGAGGUUUGAAAAUUAUUUUAAUAUUAUUUUUGGUAUUUACAGUAUGUGAUUAUAUGUGUGUGAAAGUUUCGUAAAAAAAAUUUACUAUUUGAAUGCUUAAUUCGGUAAAAAGGACUAAAUCGCGUAAAGCGUAAAAGUUGAGUUCUAAUAGCUAAAGGUAUUAAAUAGCUAUGGAAGUCUUUAUUUGGUAAAUAGCCCAUUUAAGAGAUUAUGGAUUGUGAUGGCUUGGAAUUUCUUGUAAUAAAUAAUGUUUAUAAAGGUUAGUUUUGUAAUUUAGUUAGUAAUGAUAUAAUAAGUUAAAAAAAAACAUUUAAAAAGGCUUUGAUAUUUAUUAUGUUCUUCAAAUGAAAAUAGAAGAAGAGAAAGCCAAGGAAGCUAGGUUAUUCGGCCAUCUUUAAGCCUUCAAUUAGAUCAAGAAAGAAAGAAAUCAGAUUUAGAUCGGGGGAAAUUGAAAGUUGACGAGUAGUUGAUCCGACCCGUUCGUUUCUGUAUGAGGUAAGUUCAUAAGUAAAUAAGUUUUGUUGAAUUUAAAUGUAUAUAUUUUAUACAUUAUCGAAUUGAUUUGAGCAUUAGAUGAUUGGUUUCGCGCAUGAAUUGAUUUAAUUACGAAGUCAAAAGCUUCGAAUGAACCUUAGUAAAUGUAUUGGAUAUUGAUGUCAUGAUAUUAGGAAUUCUGAUGUGUGAUUUCGUGUAAGACCAUAGCUGAGCUAUUGGCAUCGAUCUGAGAUUUUGUGUAAGACCAUAGCUGGGCUAUUGGCAUCGAUUUGAGAUUUCGUGUAAGACCAUACCUGGGCUAUUGGCAUCGAUUUGAGAUUUCGUGUAAGACCAUAGCUGGGCUAUUGGCAUCGAUUUGAGAUUUCGUGUAAGACCAUAGCUGGGCUAUUGACAUCGAUUUGAGAUUUUGUGUAAGACCAUAGCUGGGCUAUUGGCAUCGAUACGAGAUUUCUAUGUAAGACUAUGUCUGAGACAUGGCAUUGGUACGAUACAUUAUGUAUGAGUUUUCCCAAGUAUCCUUAGUGUUCCAAGUGGUUCGACGGGUAAUCCAAAGAUUAUGUCAAUGAAAAGACAAGGUAUGAUCAUGUUGAAAGGAUACAUGUAUGUACGAAAAAUUCAUGAGUAAUGAACUCGAUGUAUAUUGGACAUUUUGGAAAGAAUGUAAAUGAGUAAGUCAUACUUAUGAGAAUGAUCUUGUGAUAACCUUGUGAUUAUAAGUCUAUACUUAUGAGGUAUAAAUAUGUGGUAAAUUUGAUUGAUGAAUGUGUGAAACUUUUAGGCCAAAUUAAAUUGAGACAUGAUAUGUUUAAGUUUUUGUUGUUGAUGUAUAGGUAAAAUUGGGAAAUGAAUGACAUGUGAAUAUAUGAUAAUGAUUAGCUAUUGGAAUGACUAGUUAUGGAUAUGCUUUGGUGUUAUGUGUGUCGAAAUAAUUGUUAAUACAAAGAAAUCAUGAAUGAGUAAAAUUUGCAAUAAAAUAGUUUUGGACAGCAGCAGUUGUAUAACUUUGAAAAAUCACAAAAAAAUUGUGGGAAGAAACGGUGUAAGCAAAAGAAUCUCAUAUUAUGAGAUAUUUGAAUUUUUGUGAGAUAAGGUAAGAAUGAUUUCAGAAUCCCCUAUUCUGACUUUGGAAAAUCAUUAAAAAUUAUAUAAAAAAAUUAUGGGUUAGAAUUUAUAUGAUUAACAUUAUUAAUGAGUUUAUUUUCAAGAGAAACAAUCAGGAACAUCAUCUGAACCCCGUACUAAGAGAUAAUUAAUUUUUAGAGAAGAAAUGUCGGAACUAUUAGACAGCAAAACAUGGAUGAAUUUGAAGAAUUAACUGUACUUAUUGGCUAAACCAAAAAUUCUAAAAAUUUUAUGGUAAUAAGAUAUGUGAGUCUAGUUUUGGAAAAAUUAAGCAGAUCUUAAUUUGGAGUUCUGUAGAACCAGAUAUAAAUAAUUUAGUGACUAUGACUCGAGUAGACAACUUGAUGUGAACAUGAGUAAAUAGUGGAUCUAUGUGCAAUGAUUAUUGUAUUAUCUUGAGAACAAAUUGUGAGGAUUGGUAAAAGCAUAUUAACAGAUCUCUUAUUAUUUACAUACCAACUUGCUAAGCUAUAUAGCUUACCCCCUUUCUUUGAUUUCCCUAUAGUGUCACAGAUACUAGCUCGGGUUGGAGAUCGUCGAAGAUUCUAUCACACUAUCAAGCUAUUGAUCGGUAUCAACGUAUUCAAGCAUUUUAAGUUUAUGGAAUGUAUAGGGACUCAGUCAUUUUGUGUAUGAGUUAUUAUGUUUUGGCCAAAUGUUUUGGCUUGUAAUGGUUAAAGGUUUGAUUUAUGUGUAGCCGCAUAACUUGGCUUAUAUUGGCUAAUUGGUUGUAAGCCUAUAUAUAUGUUAAUUAUAUGUAAAAGUCUUGUGAUGUGAGUUGUGGGACCCUCAUUUGUUGAUGACAUCAUAAGUAGAGAGUUACACGGGUUGAGGACACGAGCGUGUCCCGAGCUACAUGGGCGUGUGACCCUCCAAAACAUAAAAAUUUUCUUAGUGUUCCAAAGUUUAUAGUUUAGUUCCGAACCACUUCCAGCGUAUGUUUAGAGCCUCGUAGGCCCUUAUAAGGGACGAUAUGCAUGUGUAUAAAUAGUUUUAAAUUGAAUGAAAUUUUAUGGCUCGAUUUUGUAUGGUUGCUUGUGUUUAAGACCGGUAAUGCCUCGUAUCCUGUCCCGGCGUCGGACACGAGUAAAGGGUGUUACAACAAGGGUUCAUUUUCUUCCAUUAAACUUCAAGAACAACUAAAAUUAUCUCAUGGAAAAACCCUAUACUUUCAAUCAUAUCGCAAAUUAGUCCCCUAUUUAGCUAGAUUAAGCUACAACUAUCCCGAAAACAUAAAAAUCAUCAAAAACGGGCUUAAAAAUCACUUACAUGCAAGAGAUUUAUUAACCAAAAGUUUCAAGCUCCCAAAGCGUUCCUUGUUACUGUAAAUUUCGGUUGCGGAAGAUGAAUAAAGAUGGUAGCUUUAAUUUUUUUGUUUAUUUGAUCUUUAUUUGCCUUUUUACCAAAUUACCCUUACCUAACUUUAAUAAUUUCAUAUUUACCAAGCCAUGCACAUCCACUAACUCAUUUAAUGGUCUAAUUACCAUAUAAGGAUCUCAUUUAAAGUUCUAUAGCUAUUUAAUACAUUUAGCUAUUAGAACACAACUUUCGCACUUUAUGCGAUUUAGUCCUUUUUCACAAAUUGAGCAUUUAAACGUUAAAAUUUCUUAACGAAAUUUUUACACUAUCACAUUAUCAUGUUGUAGAUAUUAAUAUAAUAUUAAAAUAAAAUUUUUUACUUCAGAUUUAUGGUCCCAAAACUACUAUUCUGAUUUCACUGAAAACGGACCGUUACAAACGGUGAGUACCUUUGAAACUUAGUUAAUUUAUUAUUUAAUUAUUACUCAAAAUUCAAUUAUAACCUAGCAGCGAAAAAAUGAUAUUUAUUCAGUUUUAAUAACAUAUAAAAAGUGAUAUUUAUUCAGUUUUAAUAACAUAUAUGUUUCGUGCAUAAUUAAUUUAAAACCCAUGUUUCAACAUUUAAAAAAAAACAAAUUAAAUGUCAUGCAUGGUAUAAUAAAAGAAAACCUUAAAUUUUUAAUCUCAUGCCACAAUUCAAAAAAUAGAGCAUUACAAUCUAUGAAUAAUAAAAAUAUCAAGUAAUAAACCUAAAGUGUUUUAAUAAAUCAAAAUCGAGCUGAGAUCUGUCGAAUGUCGUGUCCGUAUCUGUAGAGAUAGAAAUAAAGGGCGAGUGAGCUAUAAAGCUCAGUGUGAGUUCCAUCACAAGAGAAAUCAGUGCAGAUGUAUAAUAAACCAAGCAUUCAUAAUAACCGUUUUAAGUAUAGUAAUAAUCAUACAAUGUAAUAGAAUUUCUUACACUUAAUUCAAGCAUGCUUGUGCGUGCUGAUGUAAUGCAGUGCAAUUUUAGUUUAACAAUAAAAGGUCCUACCUCACUAUCGCACUCCACAGAAAGAGUUCUCCAAAACUCUUAUAUCCUAAAAACUCUGUUUUGUGGAUAAACCACCAGUGUUGCAGGUUAAUACACUGCCAUUAGUAGUGAGUAUACAAUGGGUUUGCAGAUAAAAGUUGCCAAUAAAAAUUAUGGAUAAACCACCAGUGUUUGCUGGUUAAUACGCUACCAGUAGUUGUAAAUACACAACGGGUUUACAGAUAAAAGUUUCCAAUAAGUUUGUGGACAAACCACCAGUGUUUGCAGAUAAACUACCAGUACUUCCUCCUUUCAAAGUGUCCCACCCCAUGCAAUGCAGUAUGAAAUGCUAAUAACAGUACAAUAUAGAAACAGUAGACAUGCUUAGCAUGUCGUCAGACUAACAGUAGUAGUAGACAUGUAUGACAUGUAUUUAGUUUAUCAGUAACAGUAGUCAUGCUGAUCAUGCAGUUGGAAACACAGUGGUACGAGUAACAAUACAAUAUUUAUCAAUGAUUCAAUUAUAGUAAACGUGUACAAAUUACAUAUCAUGCAUAUACAAGAACAAUUUAGUCAAUCAGAUCAUGGAUUCCAAUAUUAUUCAUAAUAUUAGAGACUCAAUUGAAUGAGAUAAAACACUAAAAACAAUUUAGAGACUAAACUAAACAAUUCACAAAAUUCUGGGCAAAACUAUAAAUAGGGGCACACGGUUUACAAAAUUAAGCUACAAGGGAGACUAGGCAGUGUUGCAGGUCGUGUGAAAAUAGGAGACAAGGGUUUUAGUGGCACAUGAUCGUGUGAGGGGCCCUGUGGUCCACACGCCUGUGUGGCUUGCCAUGUGACCCUAAUCCUAGGCACAAUAUGCCCCGAUUUGCUUGAAAAAGAACAAACACCUUUCACCAAGAGCUCAAAAGUUGUUCCUCGCGAUCAAGAAUGGUUCAAUUCAUCUAAAUUAGGUUAUUCAACGAAAAAUUUCACAUGUAUUAACAUUGGGUAUCAAGAUUCAGCGAUACUAAUGAAAGAUUUUGGCAAGAACUGUUAAAGAAUGUUUAAUUGAUUGCAAGAUUUUCCUUAGAUAUAAAUUUUAUAAGGAUUUGAGAUCAAACAUCAGGAUUGAGAUGUACAUAUUGAUUCUUGACAAUGGUUAAAGAAUGUUUCUAAUGGCGAUUACGAUUUUGGUUGAAAAACAACUUGAAUUGGAUUUGGAAAAGAAAGCGAAUUUAUAAUGCAAUUAGGAAUAUGGCUAAAUACCUAGGGUUUUCAACCUUUGAGGGGCUGUUUAGUAAUUUAACCUUAUUGUCGAAAAAAAGAAAUGGAAUUGGGUAAAUGGUGGCUCGAACUUGGGUAAGCAAAGGGGUGUGAAAUAUUAACUAUUGGAUUGCUACCCAUUCUUUUAAGUUUCUACUCCAAAUAAUAUUUAUUCCAAUGUGGUUUUUAUCUUAGUUUGCUGAAAUUAAAAAAAAAAAUAAGAGAAGAGUGGAUUGAACCUAGGACCUCUUAGGGAGUGCACUAGCUCCUUAACCAUUUAGCCUAGGUCAUUACUUCGUUAAUCAUUUCAAUUAACCCCCUAUAUUUUGGGGUGUGACAACUCUACCCUCGAAGAAAUUUCGUCCUCAAAAUUUACCUUAUUCAAAUAGAUAGGGAUAUUGUUGACGAAACACAUCCUCCGGUUCCCAUGUGGCCUCUUCUGUGCCAUGGUUUCGUCAUAGAACUUUGACAAGAGGAAUUCAUUUCCUUGUUAGAACCUUGACAUCAUAGUCUAGAAUUUUUAUGGGUUCUUCCUCAAAGGACAAUUCCGGUCCCAUUUCGAUCUUUUCAAUUGGUACAAUAUGGGAAAUGUCAGAUCGAUAUCGUCUUAACAUGGAGACAUGGAAAGCAUCGUGUAUAUGGUCUAUUUUAGGAGGUAAUUCUAAUUGAUAUGCAAUUGUACUGACUUCUUUAAGGAUUUUAUAAGGUCCUAUGAGCCUAGGACUUAACAUGCCAUUUCUUCCGAACCUUAACACUUUUCGCCAUAGGGACACUUUCAAGAAAAAUUGAUCUCUAACACUGUACUUAAUGUCUUUACAUCCCAAUACAUCUUUUUUCCUUUAGUAUGCAUGGCAUAAAGGCUAGCAUGCGCUUCUCGGAGUAUGGUUUGUCUUAAUUCCUUAUCAUUUGACACACAAUACCUUCCCCGAAAGUACAAAAUUCCAUCGUCAUCAAAAUCAUAUUCCUCAGAUUUUCCAUCUUCCACCUUCUUAAUACAUGGCAACAAAGACACGUCUAAAGGUUGUUUAGCCUUUAUCUCAUUGGCUAAGGUGAGUUUCAUUUGUAGCUUGAGUAGCGAGCCCCCAUCAUCCACGAAACUUAAUCUGGCAAACAUUGUUCUUAAAUCUAUUAUCUAUUUUCUAUUUAGAACGUCUGUUACAACAUUGGCUUUGAAGUAUUUGUCAUCUAUUUUCUACCUAGUCGCAUCCUUCAGUUUAUAUCUCAACCUUGGAUCUAUAUUUGGAAACACUGUUGCACCUAAAAAUUGGUCGAACAAUUCAUCAGUUCUAGGCAGAGGAUAUUUAUUUUUGACAGUUAGCUUAUUUAACUACUGAUAGUCUAUGCAGAGCCUUAAGGAACCAUAUUUCUUUUUCACAAACAGGACCAGAACUCCAAAUGGAGAAACAUUGGUUCUAAUAAACUUGCGAUCCAAAAGCUCAUGAAGUUGGAUUUUCAAUUAUUGUAACUCGGUAGGUGCUAUGCAAUAAAGAGCAAUGGACACUAGAGCAGUUUCUGGUAACAAUCGAUUCCAAAUUCCACUUCACGAUCUGGAGGUAACCCUGGUUACUCAUUAGUAAACACAUUUGGAAAUUCCCUAAUGAUUCAGAUGCUAGCUAAGGUAGAGCUAUUGACAUUCCUAUCCAUCACAUAGGUUAGAUAAGUCUUGCAUCCUUUUCAGAUCAACUUCUCAACGACCAUUACAAUUUCUCUACCCUCAACUGUUUUCAAGGUUACACUCUUAAAGGCAAAAUCUAGGUUAACUUGUUGUUGCACUAACCAAUCCAUACCCAGAAUUAAGUCAAACUCUCCAAAAAAUAACUCUAUAAGAUUUGUGGAAAACACUACCACUUGAACCUCCAAUGGACAUCUCCUAUAGAUUUUGUUUAAAAUAACUGAUUGUCCUAAAGGGCUUAUUAUAAUUACAUUAGUAGUGGUUUCCUUUACCCCAACAUCCAAUUUUUUAGACAUUUUACAUGCAACAUAUGAUUGGAUGGAUCCUAUGUCUAUUAGGGAAAAAUAUGGGACAAAAUGAAUGGUAAAAAUAUCUACAAUGACAUUGGAUGCAUCCUUCUCUUCACAACCCCUAACGACAUAAAAAGGGUGGGUUGUCUAGCCUUGGUUCGAUUUGCACCCAUUGCAACAACAUUUGCGGCCCUAUUUUGGUUUUGGCCCUUUGGAAGUAACUGGCUUGCUCUUCAAUUUUAGGCUUAAUUUUGGGCUGGAGCUUGCGCAUGUUUGGUUCAUCGAGGACAGUCCUUAAUCCUAUACUUAGUUGACCCACAACUGAAAUAAGCACCCAAUUUCUCCAACACUUGCCCAAAUGACGUUUUCCAUAGUGCUCACAGUUGGACGUCUUAUCCCCAGAUUUAGCCAUAGAACCCCUUGUUGCAGUUUACCCUCUCUUGUUUGUUUUAUAGGGUGAGCAAUUGAGGUAGUGGAACCAGAAUCCCUCUUGAUUGAGACCUUAAUCUUUUCUCAUUGUUCGUGAUUCACUUGCUUGAUUUUCUCAAUGAUUUUGGCUUUCUCCACUAAGGUCUCAAACACCUGUUCCUGGUUUAGAGCAGCCUAUAUCUUAAGGUCGAAUCGUAACCCAUUUUCAAAUCGUACACAUUUGUUUUGUUUUGUGGUGACCAUAUUUUAGGCAUAGUGAUUGAGUCCUGGAAACUCAGUCUCGUAUUCUGCCACCAUUUUAUCUCAUUAUUUUAGCACAAUAAACUUGAGCUUGUGGGCUUCCACACGUUUAGUGCCCACGUACUUGUUUUGGAAGGCCUCUUGGAAGUAUUCCCAAUUUAUGUAUCCCGGUUGCGUACCCUUUACCAUAGAUUACCACCAACGAUAGACCUCCUCCUUAAGCAAGGACACAGUGCUCUUCAACUUCUACUCUGGAGUAUAGUCCAAAUCAUCAAGAAUUCUCUCCGUCAACUCCAUCCAAUAUUUAGCCACAGUGGGAGUUGUUCCAGAAACACAUUUAAAUGUAUCAGCCUUAUUCGAUCGGAGUCUCUCUACAAGAGAUCCACGACUCCCUAAUCUAGUUUAGGCUCUAGCAACCAUUUUCAACACCCUCAGCAUUUCCUGUAUCAUGGGGUCAUCGCCAUUCUCAUAACCUUCGCCACCAUUGGUAGUGGAGUUCUCAACGUACUCCUCCUCAAAAAUUGGGUUCUCACCCUGAACAGUGGGUAGCUCUACAGGUGUAGCCUACACGGCCUACCCCUACUACGUCUACAUUGGGUAUUUGUUCUAUUUGCGAAAGUUUAAAAAAUAAAGUAUAUCUACAAUUUAAUGCAAAAGUUCAAGCAUUAGUCAUCCUUCUAGAUGUUCACAAUCUAAAUUUUACAAUUUAUCUAAAUUUUUAAUAGUAACUGAAGUGGGAAUGACAUCGAAGUCUCGAAUUUAAUUUCCUGCAAAAAAUAAAUUUUCUAAAAACUUGUGGUAUGGUUUUCCCAAGAUGCCUCUUUUUAAUGCAAGCAUACAAAUUCACUGAAAUUUCCUCAGUCCGAUUUAGAAAACCUAAGCUCUGAUACCACCAAAUGUAACCUCCCCAACUCGACCUCGACGUUAGACCCAAAUUUGAAAGAUUACAUUACCCACUGAAAUGGCUUAGCAAGUUGUUAGAAGUUUUGAAAACGGUCAUUUUAAAAAAUAUUUUUUUAUUUUAGAAGUAAAGCUUAGUCUAUUUUCAGAAAAACUUACCUAAAUUGAAAGAAAAACAAUUUAAAUUUACUAUCCUAAAUACAAAGCUUACGUUUGAAAGCCUUGUUUAUUACCGAUUUAUUUAAUACUCAAAUUCUAAUUAUAAUUUAGUAGCAAAAUAGUGAUAUACGUUUAUGAUUUUAUCAAAACUCAUGGGUUCAUGUAUAACUAUUUAAUAAUUAUAAUUAAAUAACCUAAAAUUGAAUUAAAUGUCAUGCAAGCUGUAAAUAAACUAAACCAUCAAACUUGAAGUCUCAUGCCACAGUUCAAAAUAAAAUAAUACAAUCUCCGAAUAAAAAUAAAAUAUCAAAUAGUAAAUCCAAAAUAUUAAAAAACCAAGUCGAGACCCUCCGGAUGCUGUGUCCAUGUUUUGCCCUAGUGGAUUAUCUGUAAUGAUGAAAAUUAAAGGGGGUGAGUUAUGAAGCACAAUAUGAGUUCCAUCACAAGAUAGUCUAUAACAGCCCGUCCGAUAGAGUCUCCGUAUUUGGUUACUAUUUGGGGAAUAGAUGGAAAAUUAAAGAUAUAUUUGAGUAAGUAAAAUAAUUUUCCUAGCUAAGUAGAGUAUUCUGAAUGAUUCACCAUUUGGCGAACUCCUAGUUUUGGCGAGCUCUAGGGUUGGUGGACUAUUCUAUUAGGUAUCUGCCCACCCCAGAUUCUUUGGGCGAACUCGUUAAGUUUGUAGCCAUUUAAAUUUGUUCAUUAUUUUAGUGAAUGAUGAUUUGGUUAGUCAUGUUGAGAUUUAGUUAGAACUGAACUAGACUACUGUAGAUGAUAAGACCAAAAACUUGUUAAGUGCACUUAAUCAAGGGAAUCAAGAGUGUUAGUGGAAUUAUCUAAUUUUUCCACUAAUCCUUGUCCCUAUUGCUUAAGUAUACAAGGAUAGCGGUGGUCUUUAUGAAUCACCUUUACGUCGUCUUCUUUUUCUCUCUUGAAUUUCUUUGAAAAUCUCUAAAAGACUUAAGUUUAGAAUAACUUCAUCAAAAAGAAAGUUCGCAGUGUUUAAUUAUCACCUAUGUUAGUACCAUCUUACUGGUAAUCACUGAUGAAGCUUUAGGUUAUUAUUGAAGUAAUUUAUGUGUUUAUCGUACUGUAUGCAUAGAUGUUAAAAUUGUUUGUUAGUAAGGAAACUUCUUGAUUAUGGAUUGUGUGUUAUCGAUACUUACGUGCAUGAUACGUUUUGAUAGAUUGAUGAUCUGAUAUGUAUAAUUAUCUUUCUUUUAACUUAAUAAGCUAACGAAGGUCCUAACGGUAAAGGUAAAUGACCUACUGUGUAAAUUUGUACUAGAGUUUCGGGUGAGUUCCUUUUUACUUCCAUAUGUUGUAAUUUACAUUUUUAUAUAAAUGAUGUAAGGUAAGUAAUAUUCCUUAGAAAUGUAUGAAUGGUGUAUGUGUUGGUAAUGGUCGUCCAGUGUAAUCAGUCUGAGUUUAGUCUGUCUGUGUUAUGAAAUAACAUCAUUUUUCAUGUGUAAGCUAGUACCAACAGUUUGUGAUAUGUGAGAUAUGAUCUGUGGUGAUAGAGAAGGGGAGAUAUGUUUGUAAAGUCUCUGGUAGGACAACUAUACUGCAAACAGAGCUGGCAGGUCAUGAUAAACAUGCUAUUAUGGAAGAAAUCAAUAUAAGGAGUUUAGGGGGAGUAUGUAUGUGAAUGAGACUGUAUGAUAUGCUUUGGCUUUGAAUUUUGGGUACGUGGCUGGCAUGAAGAUAGGUUGCUUUUGUAAUAUUAAGUUGGCGUACAAUAUCUGCCUAUGUGUUAUGUAAAUUGGUGUAUUAAGUCUAUCUGUGUUCUGUGAGCGCCUUUAGGCGUAAUGUGAUCAUUAUGUGAAACUCUUUCUGAAAGGUUUGAUAUUAUCGUAUGAAUUGGUGUGUAUGAUUUCUCUUUACUUUUGGGAACCCACUAAGUUCAUAUGAACUUACUGUGUUAUCUUUUCCUUCUCAGGCUUAUUGACUGAGGAAGACUUUCUACAGAAGGGACUACGCCAGAGAACUGUUGCUAUUGUGACUUGUAUGUUUGUCCCGUAUCAUGCAUGACUUCUUGGGGGUGGUGUGUAAAUGUAAUUUUGAAAAUGAUCUGUAUAACGAAUCACUAUUUUGACGAGACACUGUUUUAUGAGAACCUUAUCCAAUUUCAAUGCUUAGAUUUGAAUUAUUAUAUCUUGUUCAAUGAAGUUUAUUUGUUCAAGCUUCUAUGCCAAAUGGUUUGAACAUUAUUUUGUACUGCCAAUGAUGUUCAUUUAAACCUUUGAAUAAUAAUAGCUAUCAUAGGUUGUAUACUUAUAACUUCGUAAAAAAUUAAUAAAGCUUCAAUUGUAUGGUUUGUUUAAAAUUCUCUAAUUUAAGUUGUGACACAUCAUACUUAGAUCCAAUUAUCGGGUCGAGUUUGGCGUGUUACAUAAUCAGUGCAAUCGAUUAGCAUAUAAAAUCACAUCACAUAUACUAAUUCAGAAUAGAAGAUUCAGAAUAUCAUAUUAACAAAUUUAUAUCAUACACGCACACCCAUAUAUACCAUCUUAGAAAUCUCAGAAUUGUCUGCACAUACUUUGUGAAUGCAACACAUUUGUCAUAUUUAACAAAAAUGAUCCUACCCCACCACUACACACUAUAUUAAGAGUUUCCCAGAACUCAUCCACCCCUACACACUAGGUUGUGGAUAAACCACAUAAGUUGCAGGUUAAUACGCUGCCAGAUGAUUAUGAGUGCACAACAUAUUUGCAGAUAAGAGCUGCCAGAUGGGUGGGUGAACCACCAAUGUUGCAGGUUAAUACACUACCAGAUGGUUGUGAAUACAUAAUUUUUUUUGCAGAUAAAAUUUGCCACAUAGUUUGUGGGUAAACUGCCAGAGUUGUAGAUUAUUAAUCUGCUAGAACUUCCUCCUUUUCAAAGCGUCCCGCCCCAUGCAAUGCAAUAUGGAAUGUUUAUUGCAAAUAAAGAUAGAAACGAAUAAUAUGUUUAUAACGGAUCAAUGGGUUAGCAAUAAAUAUGCUCUCAAUUAAUCUCUACAGCAGAAAAAACAUGCUUAUCAUGGAUUCAGUAUAACGGUAAAAAUUAAGGUAUGUUAUACAUAUAAUCACAGUUCAUGCAUGUAUAUGAUAAUAAUUUAGUUAAUCAAUGUAUGGAUUCUAACAUUAUUCAUAUUAUCAGGGACUUAAUCGAUUAAAAUAAAAUACUAAAAGAGUUCGGGAAACAUUUAGGGACUAAACUAAACAAAACAUAAAAUUUUGGGCAAGAACUGUAAAAAUCUGAAAGUAGGGGAUACACGACCGUGUGACCAAUCCGUGUUAAAUGCCCUGGACCGUGUUGGGUUACACGGUUUUGUGGCUAGGUCGUGUAACAGACUGAUGUCGUGUGGAAAUUGCAAAAUUAAGGUAUAGGGGAUACACUACCAUGUAGCAGGCUGUGUAGAGGGUCUUAGGCCGUGUGAGAAUCGAAAUAUCUUAGGGUUUUAGGGGGCGUGGCCAUGUGAAGGGCCGUAUGGUCCACACGCCCGUGUGGCUGGCCGUGUGGCCCUAUCCUGAGGCACAAUUUACCCCGAUUCGCUUGUAAUGAAACACACACCUUUCACCGGGAUCUUAAAUGACGUCCUUCGCGUUCAACGAUCAAGAUUUGCCAUGAGUUUCAGCAAGAAAUCAUAAGAAAUUGAAUUAUCAAAUGAAAGAUUGGUGCCGGGACAAUGAUAUAUUAUAAGGUACGAAAUUCGAUUGACAAAACGAAAGCACUUACCGAUUCUUGGUGAAGUUAAGGAUGAAAUUAAUGGCGAUUCUCUAGAUGUAGUGAAAUUGAUUUGAUUCAGGAAACAAAAUAAUAAUCCACAGUAAUGGAAAGAAAAUAUUUGAAAAUAAGAGGAUGAAAAAGAAAAAUGAAAGAAAAAAUAGAGAGAAAAUAAAUAAAAUUUUGUUUUGGUUUGGAAAAGAAACAUGAAUACAAAUACAAUUAGUAAAAGGCUUAAAUACUUUAGAGUUUUCAAACUAUGAGAGGGAAAUGGGGGAGAUUAGCAUAGCUUGAACUUGGAAUUACAAGGGGAAAGAAGUGAUGAUUAACCAUUUGGGCUACUGCCCAUUCUUGUUAAGUUUUUACUUUAAAUAAUACAUAUUCUAAUGUGGUUUUCAUUCUAUGUUGCUGAAAAUGAAAAGAAAAGAAAUGAGGGAGGUAUGGAUAAAACCUAGGAUCAUUAGGGAGUGUACAAACUACUUAACCAUUUAGUCUAGGUCAUUACUUGGUUACUUAUUUCAUCUAACCCUAUAUAUUUUAAGGUGUUACAACCACUGUUCAAAAUUAAUCUAAAUAGAGAAUUAAAAUUUAGGUUGCGUUUGUUUCAUAGAAAAUGAUUUAUGAAAAAUGUUGUCUAUAUUUUCUUGAGUUUGUUUUAUGGAAAAUAAUUUGGUCAAUCGAAAAUGACUUACAAGUCAAUGAAAAGUAAGCACCUUUUCUUGUAAAUUGACUUACUCUUUUCAAAAGCACAAAUGUUUGGCUAGAGGGUCUUAAAAGCCCCUAAACUUUUCAAAAAAAAAAUCAAUCAAGUCCCUAAUUUUUUUGUACUCAAUUGAGCUUUUGAACGUUAGAAUUGCAAUCAAUUAAGCCCUUUAACUGAUAAAGUUAACCAUCAACGUUAGAAACCACACGUAAACCUUUUUUUUAGGCUAUUUUUGCCACAUAGCAUGCUAGGAUUGUGCCACGUGGCAAAAAUAGGUAUUAUAUAUAAAAUCAAUAAAAAUAAUAAAAAUAUAGAAAAUCAUAAAAAGAUAUAUAAAAAUUAUAAACAAAUAUUAAAGUGCAAAAAGAAUUAUGAAACAUAGAAUAUUAUAAAAUUAUUAUAAAUGAAAAAGUUACAUAUUUUUUAAAAAAUAUAAAAAUAUAUUAAAAUUUUUAACAUAAUAAAAAUUUUAAAAAUUUUAAAAAUUAUAUAAAUUAUGAAAAAUUGUAAAAAUUAUGUAAAAUAUUUAAAAUAUAGAAAAAUAUUAAAAAAUAUAGAAAAGUGAAAACUAUAUAAAAUAUAGAAAAUUAUGAAAAAUAUUAUUUCAAGUUAUUCAAAAAAUAAUAUAAAAUUAAAAAAUAUAAAAAUGUUUACAAUUUUAUAUAUAGAUAACCUCAAUUAUCACUUGCUUUCUCAACCCAUUUUCCCACCUUAGUUUACAUCUCAAAACACUCCAUUGUUAACAAAGUUGAACAAAGAGGGUGCAAGCUCUGUAGUGGUUUGUAGGUUAAUCGACCCGAAAUAACAUUAACCAAAUUAACCGAUCUUUCAAAAUUUUUAACUGUUAACUGAACUGAAAUUUUUUCAAAAAAAUUAACCGAACCGAAUUUUUUUCGGUUAAUUCGGUCAGUUAACCAAAUUAACUGAAAAUUAUAUAUUUUUUUAUUUUUGGUUAAAAAUUACCCGAAUUAACCGAAUUACCCGAAUUAACCGAAUUGAAUCACUACAUAAAUAAAAACAUUACAUAAGUCUUUGAAUCACUACAUAAUUAAAAACAUUACAUAAGUCUUGAAAUUAACACAUAAUUGAAAUGUAAGUCUUUAAUAUUCUCUAUUUGUAUCCAUUUCUUCUCUCCAAAAGAUCUCCAUUUGCAUUAAACCUACAAAAAAAAAACAUGUGCCUAUUUAUAUAUUAUUUUUAUUUUUAAAUUAUUUUCAUUUUUAUUUAUUAAAUUAUUUGUAAUUUUUAUGAUUGAGUUGGGUUGGGUAAUUGGGUUGGGUAAUUGGGUUUGGAUUGGAUUUAGGUGAAUAGUGGGCCUAUUUAUAUAUUAUAAUUUUAUUUAUUAAUUUUUUCGGUUAAACCGAAAAAAUUUGGUUAAUUGGCUGGUUUUGAACCGAAUUAACUGUUAACCAAAAAAUUAAAAAAUAAUUAACCGACCCCCGACCGAAAAAAUUCGGUUAACUGACCGAUUAACCGAAUUCGGUCGGUUAACUGAAUUUUUUCAGUUUUACCCAAAUUUUGCACACCUCUAGUAGUUUGCUAUGGAUGAACACAACAGAUAACUUUAAGGAUCGAGCAAAUAUUUUGUAAUUUUCAUAAGUGUUGUAAUGUUAAGGAUGGUUAGUGUGGAUAUGAAAAAAGAGUUUUUUUAAAAUAUUUUUUUAUCCUUCUUAUAAUAUGUUAUAAUAUAUAUUUUAAAUUUUUUUAUUAAUUUUUAAAUAUUUUUAAUAAUUUUCCACAUUUUAAAAUCAUAAUUUUUAAUAUAUUUAUAAUUUUUCAUAAUUUAUAAUUUUAUAUUUUAUAAUUUAAAAUUUUAAUUAUUUUAAAAUUUAUAUUACUUUCUUACUUUAUAAUGAUUUUAUAAUAUUCUAUAUUUUAAUAAAUUUUUUCACUUUACUGUUUUAUAUUUUAAAAUAUUUUUAUAAUUGUAAUAUAUUUUUUUUACUAUUUUCUAUAUUUUUAUGAUUUUUUAUAAUCUUUAUUGAUUUUUAAUAAUUAUAUAUAUAAUUAUAUAUAUAUAUAUAAAAUACCAAUUAUCGCCAAGUGGCACAAUCUUCGUGUGCCACGGGACAAAAACAACUUGAAAAAAAGCAUGCUGUUUGCUUUUGUAAUGUUGGCCAAAGUGUUUUUUUUGUAAUUCCAUAAAUAAAUUAGGACCUCAUUAAUGAGUGGCAGUAACUUAAAAAAAAAUUUAAUAUAUAGCAUAAAUAUAAGUAAUUUAAAUUAAAUUUUAAUUAGGUUUAUUAUUAAGUUUAUAUAUGAUAUCAAUUAUUAUGUAAUAUAUGAUUGAUUUGGCUGUAAUAAAAAGGUAAAAUAACUCUUUUAGUCUUUAUUAUCUACAAUUUUGUGUCAGUUUGAUCCUUACUGAAAGUACAUAAACAAUUAAAAAAUGUUUUAAGAGUUAAAUGUUAUUUGUAUUUACGGUAAAAUAUAGAAACACAAAAAUUGUGAAAAAAAACUCUUUAAAAUUGAAAUAUAUAAAAAAUAUACAAAUUUCUAAAAAUUCAAAAGAUAAAUAUUAUUUACUUAAACUUAUCCAUGGCCGAGUCGUGGCUUGGUCCAAAAGAUUUCAAGCCUUGGCCUGUUUUUGUACCCUCCUGAUCCACUAAAAAAGUUCAUUUCACUGUUAAAAAUUAAUAAAAAUAAAAAUAUUUUUAUAUUAAUAACAUUUUUAUAUUUUAUAAUUAAAUUAAAAUUUAAAUUAUUUUAUUAAUAUAAAUUGAAUUCGAGCUAACUCAACCCGGGCAUAAAAAAUCGGGCAAAUUGCCCACCUCAUGGACAUAUCUAUUAAUUUACUCCAUGAAUAGUAAUAAAUUCUCCCGAUCCGUAUUAACUGAAAUUUGAAUAAUAUUUUUCAAUCAGAUUAAUUAUAUAUCAAAUAUAUUUUUAUGUAAAUUUAAUUAUAAAGUUUAUAAAAUAUUAGCAAAAAAUAAAAUAUAAAUAAUGAUAUACUCUAAACUGGCCCGAUUUGGACAAGGUUUUUAAUAUCCCGGGCUGGUUGAAAUUCAAUUUAGAUAUAAAAAAUAUUAUUAAAAAUUAAAAUUAAUUAUAAAAUACAAAAUACAAAAUAUUAAUAUAAAAAUAUAUUUUAAUAUUUUUAUUUCUAAACAAGAUUUUUGAGUGGACCGAGCCACGAGCUUGAAAGGUUUUCUGGACUCGGACAAUGGUUGACUCGGGCUGACCAUGGAUAGAUAUAAGUAAAUAAUAUAAAUUUUUUAAAUUUUUUUUGAAUAUUUAUAUUUUUUAUAUUUUUUAUUAUUUUUAAAAUUUUAAACAGUCGUUAAAUUUUCACAAUUUUUAUUGAAAUUACAAAAAAAAUUGAAGUUUUGAAACAUUUUUUAAACAAUUAAAAAUUGGUUAUGUAGUUUUAAAGAGUUAAAAGACUCAAUUGAUACAAAAUUAUAAAAAAUAAAAGCAAAAAGAGUUAUUAUUGUAACUUCUUGUUUAGCAACCAAAUCAACCAUUUUAAUAACAAAACUAACAAAGGACGGCACAUUUAGGCUUUGAUUUUUGAUCUUCGGCCAUCCUGGUCCUCAGGACCCAACACAAUAUUAUUGUUCUUAGAUAUUUCCUUUAAAAUUAAAAGAUGCAAAAGGUGUUGAUACGUCCUAUUCACAUAGAAAGCUUACCCUCUUCCACACAUUACCGGUGGCUGCUGCAGCCGCUAUCACUUUGGCUGCAGGAGGGGAAUGGUUAAGUGAAACUCUCGACGUCUUGUUUGGUAAACGGGACGCUUGAAACACGCAUCUAUUCCACCAUAGUAGUCACACAGUGUAUACUUUUUCUUCCAGCUAAAUAUAUGAAUUCUUUGCCUAUAUCUCAAAGAACUUCGAAUCAAGACGUGGAGUGAUGAGAACCUCAAGAGGUGUUGCUUUUGGAUUUGUUAACCCAGGGCUUUCCGUCAUAUCUACAUCUUCCAGCUCUGAUAAUUUCGCAACUUUGAAACUGUGCAAGAAGCUGCCCAAGAUAAAGUGCAGCAUCUUGAGGGCUAGUGACACCCCAGGGCACGAUCUUCGUCCUGAGCCAAAUGGGAUGAGUUCAAAAGUUUGGCCUUGAAAAUCCAUAUCCUUAUUGGUGGUCAAAAAUCUCUCGGGCUGAAAAUCAUGGGGUUCUGGCCAUACACGCUCGUCACGUUGAAUCUUCCAGGCAUUUACCAUCAGUCGUGUACCAGAUGGAAUGCGGUAGCCUGUUGAGAGAGUGCAAUCUUCCGAUGCAGCCCGAAGGCUAAUGACUGGCUCUGGUGGGUAUAAGCGCAAUGUUUCCUUGACAAUGGCUUGAAGGUAGACCAUGUUUCUAACAUCAGAUUCUUCCAACAGUCUGUGCUUGCCGACGUGCAUGUCUAGCUCAUCCUGGGCCCUUUUUAGCACGUGCGGAUUAUUUAAUAGCAAAGACAAGGCCCAAGUGAGAGUGACCAUGGUUGUGUCACUCCCUGCUAAGACUAAAUUCUGCCAGAACAAGAUAUAGUUAUUAGAAUUGGUUUUUCUUAAGAUCCCAUUUUCACAAAUAGAUGAAUGUGAUUAGGAACUAUAAAAAGGACAGCUUUGACAUUUGUGUAAUGAACAAGAUUAAUUUGGUAGGGUGUUGAGAGUUCUUACCAAGCAAGUAGCCUUGUUGAUUGUAUCGGCGUCGUAACAAGUAAUGUUGGCGUCUUCCAGGAUGUUGAGCAUCACAUCCAUGAAAUCCUGCUCUUUUAUCACCCCUCCACACAUGAGCCUCUUUUGUUUAUGCUCCUCCAGCCACCCUCCUACAAUACUGUCCAAUUCUUUUGCUGUUCUUUUCAUGGCUUUCUCAUAUCCUAGGAAAUCCAACCAUCUAAGAAAUGGUAUUGCAUCAGACAACACGAACACUCCGAACAGAUGAACAAAAUCUCUCAUUACUUUCUCGCAUCUUCGUGCUUCAGCUUCCUCACAAUCAGCGUUUGGUCCGAAGUAUCUUUUUCCCCCAACCAUUCUCAAAGCAAUAUUAUGAGUUAGAUCCCCAAACCACUGCUUCAUAUCCACGGAUACUCCACUUCCUCCAUUACCUUUGCUAAGCCAUGACUUGUACAAUUCUCUUAUUGCACUCUUUACCUCUGAAACUCGUAUAUGUUUGAGCAUAUCAAUCCGGUGGUUAGAUAGAAGCUCAAUCGUAGUUAUCUUGCGAAUCUCACGCCAGUAAGGUCCAUAAGGAGCAAACCCGAACAUAGCAAAAUCAUAGCCUAGAAUCUUUGAAGCAG
RNAcentral lists this long non-coding RNA (30136 nucleotides) under Gossypium raimondii (Peruvian cotton). RNAcentral describes it as "long non-coding RNA (GRAI_LNC005375)". Lineage: Eukaryota; Viridiplantae; Streptophyta; Magnoliopsida; Malvales; Malvaceae. The record is from RNAcentral.